UGCAGUCGAGGGGUAUUAGUUUUCGGACUAAGAGACCGGCGCACGGGUGCGUAACGCGUAUGCAAUCUACCUUUCACAGAGGGAUAGCCCAGAGAAAUUUGGAUUAAUACCUCAUAGCAUAGCAGCUUCGCAUGAAGCCACUAUUAAAGUCACAACGGUGAAAGAUGAGCAUGCGUCCCAUUAGCUAGUUGGUAAGGUAACGGCUUACCAAGGCUACGAUGGGUAGGGGUCCUGAGAGGGAGAUCCCCCACACUGGUACUGAGACACGGACCAGACUCCUACGGGAGGCAGCAGUGAGGAAUAUUGGACAAUGGGCGCAAGCCUGAUCCAGCCAUGCCGCGUGCAGGAUGACGGUCCUAUGGAUUGUAAACUGCUUUUGUACGAGAAGAAACACUCCGACGUGUCGGAGCUUGACGGUAUCGUAAGAAUAAGGAUCGGCUAACUCCGUGCCAGCAGCCGCGGUAAUACGGAGGAUCCAAGCGUUAUCCGGAAUCAUUGGGUUUAAAGGGUCCGUAGGCGGUUUGGUAAGUCAGUGGUGAAAGCCCAUCGCUCAACGGUGGAACGGCCAUUGAUACUGCCAGACUUGAAUUAUUAGGAAGUAACUAGAAUAUGUAGUGUAGCGGUGAAAUGCUUAGAGAUUACAUGGAAUACCAAUUGCGAAGGCAGGUUACUACUAAUGGAUUGACGCUUAUGGACCA
Molecule: ribosomal RNA, 698 nt
Filed under: Flavobacterium xueshanense
Lineage: Bacteria; Pseudomonadati; Bacteroidota; Flavobacteriia; Flavobacteriales; Flavobacteriaceae
Description: bacterial SSU rRNA
Rfam family: Bacterial small subunit ribosomal RNA
Source: RNAcentral